CCUACGGGUGGCAGCAGUGAGGAAUAUUGGUCAAUGGGCGAGAGCCUGAACCAGCCAAGUCGCGUGAAGGAUGACGGCCCUACGGGUUGUAAACUUCUUUUGUCAGGGAGCAAUUGGGUCCACGCGUGGGCUUAGCGAGAGUACCUGAAGAAAAAGCAUCGGCUAACUCCGUGCCAGCAGCCGCGGUAAUACGGAGGAUGCGAGCGUUAUCCGGAUUGAUUGGGUUUAAAGGGUGCGUAGGCGGAAUAUCAAGUCAGCGGUAAAAUUUCGGGGCUCAACCCCGUCGUGCCGUUGAAACGGGUGUGCUUGAGUGGGCGAGAAGUAUGCGGAAUGCGUGGUGUAGCGGUGAAAUGCAUAGAUAUCACGCAGAACUCCGAUUGCGAAGGCAGCAUACCGGCGCCAGACUGACGCUGAGGCACGAAAGCGUGGGUAUCGAACAGGAUUAGAUACCCGGGUAGUC
RNAcentral lists this ribosomal RNA (460 nucleotides) under uncultured bacterium. RNAcentral's name for it is "partial 16S ribosomal RNA". It matches the Rfam family "Bacterial small subunit ribosomal RNA", at positions 338 to 795 of the family's 1533-position model. The record is from RNAcentral.